UACGUAGGGUGCAAGCGUUAUCCGGAAUUAUUGGGCGUAAAGAGCUCGUAGGCGGUUUGUCGCGUCUGUCGUGAAAGUCCGGGGCUCAACUCCGGAUCUGCGGUGGGUACGGGCAGACUAGAGUGAUGUAGGGGAGACUGGAAUUCCUGGUGUAGCGGUGGAAUGCGCAGAUAUCAGGAGGAACACCGAUGGCGAAGGCAGGUCUCUGGGCAUUAACUGACGCUGAGGCGCGAAAGCCAGGGGAGCGAACGGG
Molecule: ribosomal RNA, 253 nt
Filed under: uncultured bacterium
Lineage: Bacteria
Description: partial 16S ribosomal RNA
Rfam family: Bacterial small subunit ribosomal RNA
Source: RNAcentral